AUUGAACGCUGGCGGCAGGCCUAACACAUGCAAGUCGAACGGUAACAGGAAACAGCUUGCUGUUUCGCUGACGGGUGGCGGACGGGUGAGUAAUGUCUGGGAAACUGCCUGAUGGAGGGGGAUAACUACUGGAAACGGUAGCUAAUACCGCAUAACGUCGCAAGACCAAAGAGGGGGACCUUCGGGCCUCUUGCCAUCGGAUGCGCCCAGAUGGGAUUAGCUAGGAGGUGGGGUAACGGCUCACCUAGGCGACGAUCCCUCGCUGGUCUGAGAGGAUGACCAGCCACACUGGAACUGAGACACGGUCCAGACUCCUACGGGAGGCAGCAGUGGGGAAUAUUGCACAAUGGGCGCAAGCCUGAUGCAGCCAUGCCGCGUGUAUGAAGAAGGCCUUCGGGUUGUAAAGUACUUUCAGCGGGGAGGAAGGGAGUAAAGUUAAUACCUUUGCUCAUUGACGUUACCCGCAGAAGAAGCACCGGCUAACUCCGUGCCAGCCGCCGCCGUAA
RNAcentral lists this ribosomal RNA (506 nucleotides) under uncultured bacterium. Its description in RNAcentral is "partial 16S ribosomal RNA". It matches the Rfam family "Bacterial small subunit ribosomal RNA", at positions 30 to 523 of the family's 1533-position model. The record is from RNAcentral.